Non-coding RNA from Galeopterus variegatus (Sunda flying lemur), 75 nucleotides. The record is from the annotation of a RefSeq genome assembly. Lineage: Eukaryota; Metazoa; Chordata; Mammalia; Dermoptera; Cynocephalidae.
GGCUGGUUAGCUCAGCUGGUUAGAGCAUGGUGCUGGUAACACCAUGGUCAAGGGUUUGGAUCCUCUUACCAGCCA